RNAcentral lists this ribosomal RNA (495 nucleotides) under uncultured bacterium. RNAcentral describes it as "partial 16S ribosomal RNA". It matches the Rfam family "Bacterial small subunit ribosomal RNA", at positions 28 to 507 of the family's 1533-position model. The record is from RNAcentral.
GACGAACGCUGGCGGCGUGCCUAAUACAUGCAAGUAGAACGCUGAAGGAGGAGCUUGCUUCUCCGGAUGAGUUGCGAACGGGUGAGUAACGCGUAGGUAACCUGCCUGGUGGCGGGGGAUAACUAUUGGAAACGAUAGCUAAUACCGCAUAACAGUAGAUAUUGCAUGAUAUCUGCUUGAAAGGUGCAAUUGCAUCACUACCAGAUGGACCUGCGUUGUAUUAGCUAGUUGGUGAGGUAACGGCUCACCAAGGCGACGAUACAUAGCCGACCUGAGAGGGGGAUCGGCCACACUGGGACUGAGACACGGCCCAGACUCCUACGGGAGGCAGCAGUAGGGAAUCUUCGGCAAUGGACGGAAGUCUGACCGAGCAACGCCGCGUGAGUGAAGAAGGUUUUCGGAUCGUAAAGCUCUGUUGUAAGAGAAGAACGAGUGUGAGAGUGGAAAGUUCACACUGUGACGGUAUCUUACCAGAAAGGGACGGCUAACUACGUG